Molecule: ribosomal RNA, 497 nt
Filed under: uncultured bacterium
Lineage: Bacteria
Description: partial 16S ribosomal RNA
Rfam family: Bacterial small subunit ribosomal RNA
Source: RNAcentral
GAUGAACGCUGGCGGCGUGCCUAAUACAUGCAAGUCGAGCGAACAGACGAGGAGCUUGCUCCUCUGACGUUAGCGGCGGACGGGUGAGUAACACGUGGAUAACCUACCUAUAAAACUGGGAUAACUUCGUGAAACCGGAGCUAAUACCGUAUAACAUGUUGAACCGCAUGGUUCAACAGUGAAAGACGGUCUUGCUGUCACUUAUAGAUGGAUCCGCGCCGCAUUAGCUAGUUGGUAAGGUAACGGCUUACCAAGGCAACGAUGCGUAGCCGACCUGAGAGGGUGAUCGGCCACACUGGAACUGAGACACGGUCCAGACUCCUACGGGAGGCAGCAGUAGGGAAUCUUCCGCAAUGGGCGAAAGCCUGACGGAGCAACGCCGCGUGAGUGAAGAAGGUCUUCGGAUCGUAAAACUCUGUUAUUAGGGAAGAACAAAUGUGUAAGUAACUAUGCACGUCUUGACGGUACCUAAUCAGAAAGCCACGGCUAACUACGUG